Molecule: ribosomal RNA, 333 nt
Filed under: uncultured Basidiomycota
Lineage: Eukaryota; Fungi; Basidiomycota
Description: SSU rRNA
Rfam family: Eukaryotic small subunit ribosomal RNA
Source: RNAcentral
AGCAGCCGCGGUAAUUCCAGCUCCAAUAGCGUAUAUUAAAGUUGUUGCAGUUAAAAAGCUCGUAGUUGAACUUCAGGCCUGGCUGGGCGGUCCGCCUCACGGCGUGUACUGUCUGGCUGGGUCUUACCUCUUGGUGAGCCGGCGUGGCCUUUAUUGGUUGCGUCGGGGAACCAGGACUUUUACCUUGAGAAAAUUAGAGUGUUCAAAGCAGGCCUACGCCCGAAUACAUUAGCAUGGAAUAAUAAAAUAGGACGUGCGGUUCUAUUUUGUUGGUUUCUAGAGUCGCCGUAAUGAUUAAUAGGGAUAGUUGGGGGCAUUGGUAUUGAGUCGCUA